CCUACGGGAUGCAGCAGUGAGGAAUAUUGGUCAAUGGGCGCGAGCCUGAACCAGCCAAGUAGCGUGAAGGAUGAAUGCCCUACGGGUUGUAAACUUCUUUUAUAAAGGAAUAAAGUGCGGCACGUGUGCCUUUUUGUAUGUACUUUAUGAAUAAGGCUCGGCUAACUCCGUGCCAGCAGCCGCGGUAAUCCGGAGGGUCCGAGCGUUAUCCGGAUUUAUUGGGUUUAAAGGGAGCGUAGAUGGGUUGUUAAGUCAGUUGUGAAAGUUUGCGGCUCAACCGUAAAAUUGCAUUUGAUACUGGCAGCCUGGAGUGCAGUUGAGGUAAGCGGAAUUCGUGGUGUAGCGGUGAAAUGCUUAGAUAUCACGAAGAACUCCGAUUGCGAAGGCAGCCUACUAAACUGCAACUGACAUUGAUGCUCGAAAGUGUGGGUAUCAAACAGGAUUAGAUACCCCAGUAGUC
This 460-nucleotide ribosomal RNA is filed under the name uncultured bacterium. Its description in RNAcentral is "partial 16S ribosomal RNA". It matches the Rfam family "Bacterial small subunit ribosomal RNA", at positions 338 to 795 of the family's 1533-position model. The record is from RNAcentral.